UACAGGGGGGGCAAGCGUUGUUCGGAAUUACUGGGCGUAAAGGGCUCGUAGGCGGCCAACUAAGUCACACGUGAAAUCCCCAGGCUUAACCUGGGAACUGCGUGUGAUACUGGAUGGCUUGAAUUCGGGAGAGGGAUGCAGAAUUCCAGGUGUAGCGGUGAAAUGCGUAGAUAUCUGGAGGAAUACCGGUGGCGAAGGCGGCAUCCUGGACCGGCAUUGACGCUGAGGAGCGAAAGCUAGGGGAGCAAACGGG
RNAcentral lists this ribosomal RNA (253 nucleotides) under uncultured bacterium. Its description in RNAcentral is "partial 16S ribosomal RNA". It matches the Rfam family "Bacterial small subunit ribosomal RNA", at positions 524 to 776 of the family's 1533-position model. The record is from RNAcentral.